RNAcentral lists this ribosomal RNA (454 nucleotides) under Globigerinella siphonifera. Its description in RNAcentral is "partial 18S ribosomal RNA". It matches the Rfam family "Eukaryotic small subunit ribosomal RNA", at positions 1174 to 1440 of the family's 1831-position model. Lineage: Eukaryota; Foraminifera; Rotaliida; Globigerinidae. The record is from RNAcentral.
CAAGAGCGUGGAGCAUGUGGCUUAAUUUGACUCAACGCGGGGAAUCUUACCGGGUCCGGACACACUGAGGUUGACAGACAGUUGUCUUUCCCUCCCUUCGGGGUGGGAUUACAAAAGAUAACAGAUCUUUCAUGAUCAUGUGAUGGGUGGUGCAUGGCCGUUCUUAGUUCGUGGAGUGAUCUGUCUGCUUAAUUGCGUUUCAAAUUUUAUAUUUGUUAACAUGCGAGUCUUCAAUGACGGCCGCUCCACCUUAUAGACAUUAUAUGAUAUGCACAUUUGUGUAUUUGAUUAUAACUUGUCUGGAGUCUGGCUCGAUUUUUUUGACUCAAUUGAACGCAACGGACGUGAUUGCAAGUCCUUGUUGAACAAAUUAUAUAUAUACUACUUCAUCAUUAGUAUAUAUAGUUCGCUUCUCAUGUCGUACAGUCAAACGGGCGGGCGUCUUAAUUGGCGC